Brienomyrus brachyistius is the source of this 830-nucleotide long non-coding RNA. RefSeq lists it as uncharacterized. Lineage: Eukaryota; Metazoa; Chordata; Actinopteri; Osteoglossiformes; Mormyridae. The record is from RefSeq and is a predicted model, not a curated record. The transcript is spliced from 2 exons.
GUGAUCUUCUUGUAGUUGAGCUGCCUGGACCUCCACAGCGCCUGCACCGCCUCAGAGGAGUGCAUGAGGAGCACAGAGACUUGCACCUCCCCAGGCCAGAGCAGGGUGAAGCGGACACGGUAGGAGCCAUUGCGGAGUACUGGGCUUGGGGAUGCUCCAGACUGGCCGUGCUCUGAGCAGGACUGGAGGUGUUCUGAAUAGACUUCCAGACAGGCGACGGAGGGAGAUCCCACUGGAGGGAGAGCAUCACAUCAUCUACAGUCAUCUCUUCAUGUGGAACCCUUGCGGUGCUUGAGAAUCGGUGGAAGAUGAAGCUGCUUGUUAAGUUUCUCUACAUUUGGAAAAAUAAUGAAAAAUUCAUUGUUUAUCCCUUUCAUGAUCGUUGCCAGUUUCUGUUAUUUUGCAGUACAGGUAAGAGUUACAGCGAGUAACUCUGCCAGGCUGGCUUCUUCAGAGACACCAAAAAGGUUUUGUGUUAAAUUAGCCAUGGCAGUGAUGCCAUUUUCAGUGGGACAAAAGAGAAACUAAGCAGAAAUAGGCUGUACACAGCAGCAGCAACAAUAAUAAUGAUAACUCUGCACAAAUAGUAUAGUAUCAUGCUAUUACUUCAAAUUAAGUCUUAGUUACAUACUAAUUUCAUGUUAAUUUGUCAUUAAUGAAUGGUGAUGCGUGUUUUGUCUCAAGCAUUUUCUAUAUCUUACUAUAUUUGUUAAAUUUGAAAACCCUUUUGAAAUACUGAAGGAUCUACUGAAGCAACAAGUCAGGAAUAACACAAGUUAAAUACUCAUCUCAUGUUUGUUCACCAAUAAUAAAGCACGAUGCAUCUUUUA